UUAAAAAUAUUUAAUCUGUACAUUUCCGAAUCACACUUUUAUAUAUACAUUUAUUACAAAAAGAAAAAAAUUAGCUACACGAAUAUCCACUUUCUUUACUCACUGCACAAAAAUUUAGUUUGAUCUUUCUUAACUAACGAAUCGUGUUUCGUAUUUCAUUAUUAAUUCCAACGCGAUAAUAAAAAUAGCAAUGUAAAAACUAUAAUUGCUUAAGAGUCUGGUUAAGUAAUAUGAAUGAUAUGUUCGAGAAAUAUAUCGUUAAACGUUAUAAUAAUGCUAAUGGACGAAUGACACGCGUGUGACAUCAUUGGAAAUUAAAUAUUGAGUCACUUUAUGCAUCGUACCGGUGCAUACGUAUCUAUCAAUUCUUAAACGUUUUCAAUGUUCAGUUACUACAGACUCUGUAACUGUGUAUGGAUUGCGAUUAAAACACGAGUUAUUAAGUCAUCGAUUGCCAGAAAACUACAUAGACAGUCUGUCGGUUGGACAGCUUAGUGAUAACAUGGAUGUACGACUGGAGGAACGAUACUUAAAAAUAAAUAAAAUAUAUUCAAUCAUCGUUGGCAUGUGGCCGAAUCAAAAACGCAAAACGAUCCCCCGUAUUUUUGUAGAGUUAAUAGCGAUUUUGGCGCAUCUUACACAGGGAGGCAAUAUGGUAUUAUUCUUUAGUCUAACUCUUGCAAUGGAUCAAAUUCCAUUUCUGAUAGCGGCUAUUCUUCUAAUGAUAAAAUACAACAAUUUUAUUAUUAAUGAGCAAAAGUUCAAGGAAUUAUUCGUGAGUAUUUUAAAUGAUUGGCAAAAGAAGAAAACGCACGAAGAGGAGAUGAUCUUGGAAAAAUACGCUGACAAAAGUUUAUUCUUUAUAUUAAUAUACGUAGUAAACGCUUACUUUUGCACCGUCCUCUUCUUGAUCCUUCCCUUGACGCCUAUUUUAUUGGAUAUAUUCAUACCUUUGAACGAGUCACGGCCGAGGGUUCAGAUGUAUCCAGCGUAUUACUACAUCGAGAAUGAGGCCGAUUAUUAUUAUCCCAUUUUGAUAUUCUCGAUCGUAUCGUUGCUGACGGCGAUGUGCGUGUACAUUGCAACGGACACGACACUGGUCUAUGUCGUGCAACACGCUUGCGGAUUGCUAACCCUCGCAGGUUACCGCUUCAGGAAUAGUUUGAACGAUUUGUACUCGAUGAGGAAAGAUUCGAAAAUGGAUGAAAAAAUAUACAGAAGAAUGUGCUACGCCAUUAAAACUCACAAACGAGCGCUUGCAUAUCUCACCAAAAUCGAGGAUUUUUACUCUAUGAAUAUCUUCGCGCAAGUGGGUGCAUCAAUUUUGUGUCUUACUGUCACGUUGAUGAAGAUAGCUACAAUAAAAUGGUCCAUGGAAACUAAUCAGUAUUACGGAUUCGUGAUUGCUCAAGUGGUGCACAUUUUCUUCCUCACAGCUCAAGGCCAAUUCGUCAUUGAUUCACAUGACAAUGUUUAUCGGGAUAUGUAUGAGCCAUAUUGGUACAAUGUGCAAUAUAAAAUUCAAGCAAUGUUCGUUCUGAUUCUGCGAAGAAAUUUGAAUCCUCCUCUGUUAACAGCCGGUGGAUUAAUGCAACUAAACUUGAACACCUUUGCACAGGUUGUGAAAACGAGUGUCUCGUAUUUUACCGUAUUAAAAUCUGUCUGAAUGCUAUUAAUUAUUCAAAAGAACAGUUGCCAAGUAUAAUGUAUUUUAACGAUAAUGCAGAGAUAUAGUACCAGAUACCACGUGAAGAGGGCAAUAUGCAUGUGAUUCUGCAAAUUAAUUUCAAUAUAUUAUAAACAAUAUGGUAAUCUAUAUAUUUAUUUACACUUUAUUUAUGUUUUUU
RNA transcript from Apis mellifera (honey bee), 1847 nucleotides. It is a transcript of the gene named odorant receptor 22c, with no coding region annotated. Lineage: Eukaryota; Metazoa; Arthropoda; Insecta; Hymenoptera; Apidae. The transcript is spliced from 10 exons. The record is from RefSeq and is a predicted model, not a curated record.